CUAAAUACUACCCAGUGACCGAUAGCGUAUAGUACUGUGAAGGAAAGGUGAAAAGCACCCCGGGAGGGGAGUGAAAAAGAACCUGAAACCCUGUGCCUACAAGCACCUAGAGCACGUCAAUGUGUGAUAGGGUACUUUUUGUAGAACGGUCCGGCGAGCGAUUGUAUGCAGCAAGGUUAAGGACUUAAGGUCUGGAGCCGAAGCGAAAGCGAGUUUGAAAAGGGCGUUAAGUUGCAUAUAAUGGGCCCGAAACCGGGUGACCUACCCAUGGUCAGGUUGAAGUGGAAGUAAAAUUCCAUGGAGGACCGAACCGACCUCCGUUGAAAAGGCGGCGGAUGAACUGUGGGUAGCGGAGAAAUUCCAAUCGAACCCGGAGAUAGCUGGUUCUCCCCGAAAUAGUUUUAGGACUAGCCUCAAGUUAGAUACCUGGAGGUAAAGCACUGAAUAGCCUAGCGGCCGAGAGGUUAGCGAAGCUUAUCAAACUCAGAAUGCCAGAGUAUUGAUGCUUGGGAGUCAGACAGUGUCAGAUAAAUGUCAUUGUCAAAAGGGAAACAGCCCAGAUCUACAGCUAAGGUCCCAAAGUCAGGUUAAGUGGAAAACGAUGUGAAGAUACGCAGACAACCAGGAUGUUGGCUCAGAAGCAGCCACUCAUUCAAAGAGUGCGUAAUAGCUCACUGGUCGAGCGUCUUUGCGCGGAGAAUUUAACGGGGCUAAACCUGACACCGAAGCUUAGGCAAUACAGCAAUGUAUUGGGUAGGGGAGCGUUGUAUACGCGGUGAAACAGUAGCGCAAGCGGCUGUGGAGUGUAUAGAAGUGAGAAUGCCGGAAUGAGUAGCGCGAAUGCAGUGAGAAUCUGCAUGGCCGAAAGCCUCAGGUUUCUGGAGGAAGGUUCGUCCGCUCCAGGUUAGUCGGGAGCUAAGGUGAGGCCGGAAGGCGUAGCCGAUGCACAGACGGUAGAGAUUCCGUCACCACCAAAAGAGUUAAGCACAGGGACACAUUUGAAGUCUCAGAGCCGGGUGUUGGUUCCGGUAGAGAUCGAGGGAAGUUAGUACCGAAGUCUGAGAUGGAAGAUGGCGAGAAAAGCUGUGUGUAUUUCUGAGGUGCCCGUACCGCAAACCGACACAGGUAGGUAGGAAGAAGAUUCUAAGGCCAACGGGAGAAGGGUUGUUAAGGAACUCGGCAAAUUGACCCCGUAACUUCGGGAGAAGGGGUGCUCCAGAGAUGGAGCCGCAGAGAAUCGGCCCAAGCAACUGUUUACCAAAAACACAGGUUUGUGCUAAAUCGAAAGAUGACGUAUACGAGCUGACGCCUGCCCGGUGCUGGAAGGUUAAGAGGAGAUGUGCAAGCAUUGAAUCGAAGCCCCAGUGAACGGCGGCCGUAACUAUAACGGUCCUAAGGUAGCGAAAUUCCUUGUCAGGUAAG
Molecule: ribosomal RNA, 1422 nt
Filed under: human gut metagenome
Description: bacterial LSU rRNA
Rfam family: Bacterial large subunit ribosomal RNA
Source: RNAcentral